AGCAGCCGCGGUAAUUCCAGCUCCAAUAACGUAUAUUAAAGUUGUUGCAGUUAAAAAGCUCGUAGUUGAAUUUCGGGGUUAGUAGGUUGGUCAUGCCACUGGUAUGUACUGGUCUCACUGAUUCCUCCUUCCUGAUGAGCCGUAAUGCCAUUAAUUUGGUGUUGCGAGGAAUCUGGACUGUUACUUUGAAAAAAUUAGAGUGUUUAAAGCAAGCUAACGCUUGAAUACAUUAGCAUGGAAUAAUGAAAUAGGACGUUCGAUCCUAUUUUGUUGGUUUCUAGGAUUGACGUAAUGAUUAAUAGGGAUAGUUGGGGGCAUUAGUAUUCAAUUGUCAGAGGUGAAAUUCUUGGAUUUAUUGAAGACUAACUACUGCGAAAGCAUUUGCCAAGGAUGUUUUCAUUAAUCAAGAACGAAAGUUAGGGGAUCGAAGACGAUCAGAUACCGUCGUAGUCUUAACCAUAAACUAUGCCGACUAGGGAUCGGAUGAUGUUAAUUUUUAAUGACUCAUUCGGCGUCCG
RNAcentral lists this ribosomal RNA (518 nucleotides) under uncultured Glomus. RNAcentral describes it as "SSU rRNA". It matches the Rfam family "Eukaryotic small subunit ribosomal RNA", at positions 569 to 1089 of the family's 1831-position model. The record is from RNAcentral. Lineage: Eukaryota; Fungi; Glomeromycota; Glomeromycetes; Glomerales; Glomeraceae.